AGUAUGUUUUUAUGAAAUUUACUGUUACUUCGUGACGUUUAAAAUGUCUUACUCAUGGCGUGACAUGAUUGGUUAACAAUUCGACGAAUCACAAUCGAUCUUGUGUACUUGAAAGAAAAAUGGCAUGAUUUUUAAUAACAUGUUUUCGUCACUAAUUGAUUGAGGAACUCAAUGAAUGUAUUAAUUGCAACAAUAUAAUUGGCCUUGGAUAAACAAAAAAUAAGAAAAUUAAUUAAAUAAAAGAAGAAGCUCGUUUGAAAUGUAAAUGAUAAAUAAUAGAAAAACAAACGACAACAAUUAGAAAGCACAAAUAAAAGGAUAUUAUUAAUAAUGAAUAAUAAUUUAAAUAGUAUAAUCCAGCUACUGCUAAAUUCUCAAUUUAACAAAGAAAAAAAUAAACGUAUUAUAGAUAGAUAAUAGCGAUCAUAUUACAGUGAAACAAAAGUAAAACAAGUCGGACAAGAGGAACACUUUAAAAUAGUUCCAAGUAUUAUUGAUAUAUAUAAAUGGUAUAGUAAAUGACACGAUGUAACUUGAUGAACAGUAUUAUCAAACGAUCCUCUUUAUUGUA
This 571-nucleotide long non-coding RNA is filed under the name Polistes fuscatus (common paper wasp). RNAcentral's name for it is "uncharacterized LOC122516038". Lineage: Eukaryota; Metazoa; Arthropoda; Insecta; Hymenoptera; Vespidae. The record is from RNAcentral.